AUGCCGCACGCGCUCACCAGAGGACCGCAACCUGCGCGACUGGUCAACGAGGGGCCGCCCCUGCUUCCCAGGCCAGAACCACUGGCCAUUCCGCUAGCGCACGCCCACCUGCAACAGCCACGGGAGGAUCACGACAUCAGACCACCUAAACACCAGUUUCCUCGCUUCGACGGUGAGGGUCCACGCCUCUGGCUUGAUCGCUGUUUAGCUUAUUUCGAGCUCUAUCACGUGCCAGAGCACAAUUGGGUGGCCACCGCGGUGCUCCAUGUCGAGGGUCAUGCCGCGCUCUGGCUCCGAGCAUUUCGGCAGCAGCAUCCAGUUCUUCAUUGGGAUAUGUUCAGACGUGCUCUGGAGGAGGAGUUUGGACCAGAGGAGUUCGAAUCCAUGAUGCACAAUCUCUUGCAGUUGAGGCAGACCGGCAGUGUGGUGGAUUACAGGCAACAAUUCGAAGUUUACAUGUACAACUUGCUGGCACUGGAUGCAACCCUCAGCCCAAAAUUUUUUGUUACUCAGUUCUUAUUAGGCCUGAAGGAUGAGCUCCGAGCAGCAGUACGCAUUCAAGCACCCAAUAGCAUAACGAGGGCCAUAGUUUUUGCAACGAUUCAGGAAGAAGAGCUUGAAAAUCAGCGUUCCAAGUCGUGA
This 642-nucleotide ribosomal RNA is filed under the name Triticum aestivum (bread wheat). Its description in RNAcentral is "partial small subunit ribosomal RNA". Lineage: Eukaryota; Viridiplantae; Streptophyta; Magnoliopsida; Poales; Poaceae. The record is from RNAcentral.